GACACUUUGGCCGAGUGGUUAAGGCGAUGCCCUGCUAUCUACAGGUAUCAUAGGCAUUGUGUUCGCACGCGCAGGUUCGAAUCCUGCAGGUGUCG
Molecule: transfer RNA, 95 nt
Organism: Trichoderma virens Gv29-8
Lineage: Eukaryota; Fungi; Ascomycota; Sordariomycetes; Hypocreales; Hypocreaceae
Rfam family: tRNA
About the family: Transfer RNA (tRNA) molecules are approximately 80 nucleotides in length.
Source: Rfam